Molecule: ribosomal RNA, 478 nt
Filed under: uncultured bacterium
Lineage: Bacteria
Description: partial 16S ribosomal RNA
Rfam family: Bacterial small subunit ribosomal RNA
Source: RNAcentral
GACGAACGCUGGCGGCGUGCUUAACACAUGCAAGUCGAACGUGAUUUUUGUGGAAAUUCUUUCGGGAAUGGAAAUGAAAUGAAAGUGGCGAACGGGUGAGUAACACGUGAGCAACCUACCUUACACAGGGGGAUAGCCGUUGGAAACGACGAUUAAUACCGCAUGAGACCACAGAAUCGCAUGAUAUAGGGGUCAAAGAUUUAUCGGUGUAAGAAGGGCUCGCGUCUGAUUAGCUAGUUGGAAGGGUAAAGGCCUACCAAGGCGACGAUCAGUAGCCGGUCUGAGAGGAUGAACGGCCACAUUGGAACUGAGACACGGUCCAAACUCCUACGGGAGGCAGCAGUGGGGAAUAUUGCACAAUGGGGGGAACCCUGAUGCAGCGACGCCGCGUGAGCGAAGAAGGUUUUCGAAUCGUAAAGCUCUGUCCUAUGAGAAGAUAAUAACGGUAUCAUAGGAGGAAGCCCCGGCUAAAUACGUG